RNAcentral lists this transfer RNA (85 nucleotides) under Felis catus (domestic cat). It matches the Rfam family "tRNA". Rfam says of the family: Transfer RNA (tRNA) molecules are approximately 80 nucleotides in length. Their secondary structure includes four short double-helical elements and three loops (D, anti-codon, and T loops). The record is from Rfam by way of RNAcentral. Lineage: Eukaryota; Metazoa; Chordata; Mammalia; Carnivora; Felidae.
GCCUGGGUGGCUCAGUCGGUUGAGCGUCUGACUUCAGCUCAGGUCAUGAUCUCGAGGUCCAUGAGUUUGAGUCCCGCAUCAGGCU